RNAcentral lists this ribosomal RNA (253 nucleotides) under uncultured bacterium. RNAcentral describes it as "partial 16S ribosomal RNA". It matches the Rfam family "Bacterial small subunit ribosomal RNA", at positions 524 to 776 of the family's 1533-position model. The record is from RNAcentral.
UACGUAGGUGGCAAGCGUUAUCCGGAUUUAUUGGGUGUAAAGGGCGUGUAGGCGGGAGCGCAAGUCAGAUGUGAAAACUCAGGGCUCAACCCUGAGCCUGCAUUUGAAACUGUGUUUCUUGAGUGCUGGAGAGGCAAUCGGAAUUCCGUGUGUAGCGGUGAAAUGCGUAGAUAUUAGGAGGAACACCAGUGGCGAAGGCGGUCUGCUGGACAGCAACUGACGCUGAGGCGCGAAAGCGUGGGGGGCAAACAGG